Molecule: long non-coding RNA, 2657 nt
Organism: Cygnus atratus (black swan)
Lineage: Eukaryota; Metazoa; Chordata; Aves; Anseriformes; Anatidae
Exons: 5
Source: RefSeq, a predicted model, not a curated record
GUACCUAAGGAGGAAGAGGAGGAGGAGGGUGUGUGUUAUUGAAUGGUGGCUAAAGCCUCCUCGGGACGGCGCUGAGGUGAAACAGGCUGAACCCGACUGAUGUGCCUCCUCUCUCGGUUGGACCCAGUGCCCUAAGCAGCCGAUGAGAGACCCCCGGCCGCCCGGCUCGCAGGUUACACAUACAAAGUGAACAGAAUGGGCCCAAUCCUGCCAGUCCCUUCUUGAGUACCUCCUUAAUGCUGAAAUGGGCAUGCUAAUUGUGAACUAUGCGGACUCAGCCAAAUCCUGAGUGGAAUUAGGACAGCUUUGCUCUACUUCACUGAUUGAAAGUUGGUUCUAACAGUGGGAAAAGAAACGUCUCCAGAUUUCCAGAGCACCAUGGCUUCCUUAUUUAUCUCUGCAUAAGGCUCCGCUUCACAGAAGCCAAUACACUGGUGGGGCAACCCUCCUCCACUCCCACCAGUGCCAUUUCCAAAGGAACCACUCCAAGCUGCUGAACUCCCCAGCCCCCAGAGCUGCCCUCUUCUUGCAAACUGAGCAUCAGACCCUCUGCGGGGAGGGCUCGUCUAUGAGAGGAACAUUAGAGCCAGUAAUCAAAGACAGGUCCCGACCAUGGCAUGGUAGUGCCCAAACCACAAUGCUGGGGCUUCAUUUUCUGCUGGAUAUGGUGCACUUCCACUGGGAAUAUUUGUUAAAAAAGAACUUUUGAUUUGUUUUGAUUAGAAUUAUGUACUGUGUCUUUGUGACAAACUUUAAAAAGAAACCAACAGUCUGAAAUGUGAAUUCAGUUCAUUUUGUUACUGAAACUCAGAACCUGCAAUCAGUUAACAUGCACCCAGUAAUUAACUGGAUUUCUUCUGUCUGGUGAAUGUAUUAAUUAUCUGCAAUAUAACAUAAUGCUCCCUCUUCUCUUGCAGUCCUUGGAACUAAGUUUGUUUCAUUUGAUACUUUUUAUGACUCUUUAGUAAUAUAAAACCAUUUUUAAAAUAGCAAUAAAAAACUGCUCUGCAAGUAUUUCUGGAGACAAGGUAUUUUUAUAAACAAGAAAACCCACCUCAGUGGCAUUCAUUGAUUAAAUUUAUCUUUAUGAUUUAUCUAUACAUCACACAGAUGGAAUUUUUCAGAAAUGCCAUAAACUGCAAUUUGAAACCAUGUCCACCUAUUGCUUGUCUCACAGCUCUGAUCUGAGGUUAAAAAAUCAAGAGAGAAUAAAUUUCCUUUUAAGAUAAUGACAUCUCUGGAAUGUUAAUAGUACAAAACUUUCAAAAGGUAAAACUAUUUCUUAGCUGAACUAGAAAAGAAGCAGAUUGGCUUAGUCCAUUUUGCACCUUUGUGCUGGAGAAUGACUGGGUUUAAAUUACAGCAGCUUCAGUCUUUGCUUUUCAAUCUCUUAAUCCUUAAGGAGCAGAGGUUUCAGUUCAAGACAACUUCACACAGAACGUACGAAAAGAUUCUGUGAGCCUUUCUCAAGUAUGAUGAUCAUUUUUUCAGCUGCAAUGUUUCACUCACAUCCCAUACCAAAAAAAAAGAAAGAAAAAAAAAGACUGAGGAAAAACAGUGUCAAAUAAUUAAUGCAUUUUCAAUGAAAGGUUCCUUUCCACUAUGGUUUAAUACACAUGCAUGAAAAGCAAUAAAUGCUUUCAUGUGAGCCACUUGCAGAUACUCAUACCUAUGGUUUUCAUCACUGUUUUACUGGUAUCCCCUCACAUUUGUGAUAUUCCCGAGCUCAGAUGGAAAAGGAAGCUAGCCUGGGAGGUUUUACAUCUGGUAGCCAACACUAUUACUUAAACAAGCUACGUCAGUUUUCAAAAAAAGCUACAUAGGUCAAAUCAGGGCAAUUACGUUCUGAUCUAAGUCACAUACAUCUGUCAAUUAUUUCCAGGUGUUUUUUGGGCAACCUAUUUUUCUUAUCUAUAAUUAAUAUUUUGCUAAUAGGGCUGAAGUGAAAUGUCAGGGGCCUCUCCACUUGUCUUCAUUUCAUUAAAAAAUGAGUUGUGACAGUAAUCAUUUGACUAUACUUAGGUUUUAAAGCAUUAUGUUAUUUUAUGUUACAGCUAUUAUUUAAAUCAUAGUUUGCAGGUAUUAUGGGCAUAAUAUUUCUAUGCCGCUCUCUAAGUACAUACCUACACACACAUAUAUAUAGAUAUACAUACCUCAAAGAGGCAUACAUACAUGCAUACCUCAAACUUAUCUUGGAAAUUAACCAGUAAAUGCUUGAAAUGCACAUCAUGCAAUUAAAGAACAAUUCUGGAAGCAAUCACGAAAACUUUUAUUUAAAUUUCUACCUUCCAUUUUGAACCUGCAGUUAUUUUUUAAUCUAUGGAGGCUUAUAGCUGACCACUUUGAAAAACAUGUAACUCAACAGUGUAGGAAUAAGACUUCUUUACUAAUACAAAACAUUUAAAUUAAAUUCAAAGGUCCAGACACCAUCCUGGCUGGCAUUAACAAACCAUAUAUAUAUAUAUAUAUAUAUAUAUAUAUAUAUAUAAAAGUUUUGAAAAUCACAAAGACGGAGAUUGAUCAUCAAACUGAAGUGACAAGUACUUUUUUGGGGGGAUGACUAUUCCCUCUGAAUUAUAGGGGAAGCCGUAUAGCAUUAGAUACAUAAUUUUAGGUGAGCAUUUUCAUUUUCUAUCUUUCAUAAGUUUGUGCUAAGA